This 315-nucleotide unclassified non-coding RNA is filed under the name Hevea brasiliensis (rubber tree). Lineage: Eukaryota; Viridiplantae; Streptophyta; Magnoliopsida; Malpighiales; Euphorbiaceae. The record is from RNAcentral.
CGGGUAUAAAGAGCUGAUGCCGCCCGCACGCGCGGCCUGAUUUGGUGCCUGCCUCGCAUUGAUCCUGCCAGGCGGGUUCCGAUUGGAACCUCCACCUCAUGUCGGUGUUGUCUUGAUGGACCGCGGCGGAUGUACCCGCUGUCCGGCGGAAAAAGGCAUGGAACGGGCGGUUCCAGGCCUUGCCGCUGAAAUUGUUGCCGUUUCGGAGAGGCAGGGUUCCAAGUUCCCGAGCCAUUCACCGCUGCGGCGACUGCUUCGCCGGUUACGGCGUCCAAUCGAAAGGCCGAGAGUGAACCCGGUGAAAAGGACGGCGGG